Molecule: long non-coding RNA, 1043 nt
Filed under: Homo sapiens (human)
Lineage: Eukaryota; Metazoa; Chordata; Mammalia; Primates; Hominidae
Description: HSALNT0383936
Source: RNAcentral
CUUCCGCCCGGCGGCGGCGGGGCGCACCGUUGGGUCACCAGUGAGUCUGCAAAGUCGCUGAGGUUCUGGGACAGCGCGGCGUCACCGAGCGUGAGCCUUCCGCCCGGGGACGCGGCCGCCACAGCUCGGGACGCGGGGAGCGCGGCCGGCGCGAGCUCAAGACCCGGCCCGACGUGCUCACUGCGGCAGCGGCGCCUCCUGGACGGGGACCCAGGGCCCGGACCGCGCUCUUCCCGGGGGCGCCGCCGAGCCCUCGUCCCUGCCGGGCCCGGCUGCCGCAGGGUCUCCCUUUGUCGCCCAGGCUGCAGUGCAGUAGCGCGAUCUCGGCUCACUGCAGCCUCUACCUCCCCGGCACAAGCGAUCCUCCAGCCUCAGCCUCCCGAGUAGCUGGGACUACAGGCGCCACCAUGCCCGGCUACCUUUUGUAUUUUUUGUAGAGAUGGCGCCUUGCCAAGUUCCCCAGGCAUUAACCCGGAAACAACCUGGCGGGUCAGGGAGAGCCUCUUCUGCUCAGAGGUCAUUGUGCCCAGACUUGAGCCCUGGCUGUGAAGUCCCUGAGGCCCCUCACUCCAGGGACGGGAAGCACCAAAGAUGUGAUGUUUCCUCCUCGGUUUCUGAGACUGCCUGGAAGCGGGGGGUGGAUAGUGGUGAGCAGCCGUCUCCUCCUUUCCUGAGAACAUAAAUCAGAAACGCUUUCUGAGGCCGGGCACGGUGGGUCAUGCCUGUAAUCCCAGCACUUUGGGAGGCUGAGGUGGGUGGAUCACCUGAGGUCAGGACCAGCUUGGCCAACAUCGUGAUAACCCCCUCUCCACUGAAAAUACAAAAAUGAGCCAGGCAUGUUGGUACGUGCCUGUAAUCCCAGCUACUUAGGAGGCUGAGGCAGAAGAAUUGCUUAAACUCGGGAAACGGAGGUUGCAGUGAGCUGAGAUUGUGCCACUGCACUCCAGCCUGGGCUACAGAGUGAGACUCUUGUCUCAGGAAAAAAAAAAAAAAAAAAGUGCCUCAAAAAUAAACAAUUAAAAAUGUUCUUAUGGUCUUCACAA